CCUACGGGAGGCAGCAGUGAGGAAUAUUGGUCAAUGGGCGCAGGCCUGAACCAGCCAAGUCGCGUGAGGGAAGACUGCCCUAUGGGUUGUAAACCUCUUUUAUAAGGGAAGAAUAAUGACUACGUUUAGGCAGAUGCCCGUACCUUAUGAAUAAGCAUCGGCUAACUCCGUGCCAGCAGCCGCGGUAAUACGGAGGAUGCAGGCGUUAUCCGGAUUUUUUGGGUUUAAAGGGUGCGUAGGCGGUAUUUUAAGUUAGUGGGAAAACGUCGGGGCUUCACCUUGAUUGGCCAUUAAAAAUGGAGUACUAGAGUACAGACGAGGUAGGCGGAAUAAGUUAAGUAGCGGUGAAAUGCUUAGAUGUAACUUAGAACCCCGAUAGCGAAGGCAGCUUACCAGACUGUUACUGACGCUGAAGCACGAGAGCGUGGGUAGCGAACAGGAUAGAUACCCGUGUAGUC
RNAcentral lists this ribosomal RNA (458 nucleotides) under uncultured bacterium. RNAcentral describes it as "partial 16S ribosomal RNA". It matches the Rfam family "Bacterial small subunit ribosomal RNA", at positions 338 to 795 of the family's 1533-position model. The record is from RNAcentral.